GUAACCUAUUUAUCCAUAGCCAUGACAGAAAUCUGACACGGUGCAGAAGAGCUGGCCGCUCUCCUAUGCUCUUGGACUUACUGAGAUGCCUUCUUCCUGCCCUUGAGGGACCACCUUCCAGAGGUGUCAGAAAAAGGCAGCUGACAGAAAACCUGUUGGACACAGUUGGACUUUCAUUGAAGAUUUAAGAAUGCUAUUAUAAAAGCCUUCUAAUGCUCAGCUGGCUUUUUCCUUUGUGACUUACAGUCAAUCUGGCAGUGUGAAUAUUGUGCUCAGCUGGAAUUCCAAGUUAAGGGACCAGCACCAACUGCUAUUAUCUUGAGGCAAGAUAUUAAAAUAAGAAAAAGAAUGUGGAAAUGAAUGUGGAAAUGUGAAAAAUCUAACUAGAUGAGGACAGAUUAACCGUGUUGCUUAUGAAGCAGAAAAUCAGGAGCAAAGAUGGUUCUGGACUGAAAUAUCCUUACUCCAAUGUUGGCUUCAUUGACAAGACCGUGUGUGCAAACUUUUCAUUUAUCAUAUCAUCCCCUUGACAACGUGGAGUGGCAAUGUUCACAUUAGGAGGCUCAGCAGGGUAGACAGCUGCACUUUUUAUGAGGGCCGUUUGUCUUUCAUUACAAUUUAACCUUUCUCUGAACAAAGGGGGAAAGCGCCUGUCAUAGCAGAUGCGGCUGCAAGCAUUCUUUCUGAGUCUCUUUCUAUAGGCCGCUGGCCAAUCUGCCAACAGGCAGGGCAUUAAGAAUAGAUGAUGAUCUCAUAAUUCAAGGACUAGGUAUAAAAUAAGGGUGCUAGAAGAACAACGGUUCAUUGCUCAAUUCAUCCUUGAGGUUCAUAGGUUACAAGGUAGAACCGAAGGGCUUUUUGCUAAGAGUUGUAUGAUGGGAACAUUACUCAGCAAAAGGAAUAUUUUAGAGCAUGGACAUCCCUUUGGUAACAAUACUGUUGUUCAGUAUUGCUGUGUCAGUAGAAAGUGUAUAUAUUGACUGUCCUCUUAAUUCCCUCAACAAAUUAUUCACUAUGUCUGCAUUACUAUUACUAUUAAUCUUACGACUGUAUGACUGUAACUUGUUGCUAUAUCCUUAUGAUUUAUAUUGUUUCCUUGUAUGAUUUGAUUGCUUAUUUGUACCCUAUGACUAUCAUUAAGUGUUGUACCUUAUGAUUUUUGACGAAUGUAUCUUCUCUUUUUAUGUACACUGAGAGAAUAUGCACCA
This is a long non-coding RNA of Ahaetulla prasina, 1208 nucleotides long. RefSeq lists it as uncharacterized. The record is from RefSeq and is a predicted model, not a curated record. The transcript is spliced from 3 exons. Lineage: Eukaryota; Metazoa; Chordata; Lepidosauria; Squamata; Colubridae.